AGGUGAGUUCGCCGGUGGAGGAGGGGGUGCAAGGGUCCACGGGACGGACGGACGGGCGGGCGGGCACUGCUCUCUAUAUGCGCGGCGUGUGCCUCGGCCCUGACGGGUGGGGCUUCGGAAAGAUCCGUGGGGACGGAGGCCGUGGUUGUGAUUGAACGGGCUGCCUCCGGACCCCUCCCCUAUCGCCAACGCUGAGCCGAAACCAUGCAUGGGCGCCUGAAGGUGAAGACGUCCGAAGAGCAGGCAGAGGCCAAAAGGCUAGAGCGGGAACAGAAGCUAAAGCUCUACCAGUCAGCCACUCAAGCUGUCUUCCAGAAGCGGGAGGCAGGCGAGCUGGAUGAAUCCGUCCUAGAACUGACAAGCCAGAUUCUGGGAGCCAACCCUGAUUUUGCCACCCUCUGGAACUGUCGCAGAGAAGUGCUCCAGCAGCUAGAAACCCAGAAGUCCCCUGAGGAGUUGGCUGCUCUUGUGAAGGCAGAACUAGGCUUCCUUGAGAGCUGUCUGCGUGUGAACCCUAAGUCCUAUGGCACUUGGCACCACCGCUGCUGGCUGCUGAGUCGCCUGCCUGAGCCCAACUGGGCCCGGGAGCUGGAGCUGUGCGCUCGCUUCCUCGAGGCCGAUGAGCGGAACUUUCAUUGCUGGGACUAUCGGCGAUUUGUAGCUGCACAGGCUGCUGUCGCGCCUGCAGAGGAACUAGCCUUCACUGACAGCCUCAUCACCCGGAACUUCUCCAACUAUUCUUCCUGGCAUUAUCGCUCCUGCCUCUUGCCCCAGCUGCACCCCCAGCCAGACUCUGGCCCCCAGGGACGGCUCCCUGAAAAUGUACUGCUGAGAGAGCUGGAGUUGGUGCAGAAUGCCUUCUUUACUGACCCCAAUGAUCAGAGUGCCUGGUUCUAUCACCGCUGGCUCCUGGGGCGGGCGGAGCCCCACGAUGUUCUGUGCUGCCUGCAUGUGAGCCGGGAAGAGGCCUGUCUGUCAGUCUGCUUUUCUCGUCCCCUGAUAGUGGGCUCCAAGAUGGGGACCUUGCUACUCACGGUUGACGAGGCACCUUUGAGUGUGGAAUGGAGGACUCCAGAUGGCAGGAACCGGCCCAGCCAUGUCUGGCUCUGUGACCUGCCUGCUGCCUCUCUCAAUGACCACUUGCCCCAGCACACGUUUCGUGUCAUCUGGACAGGAAGCGAUACCCAGAAGGAGUGUGUGCUUUUAAAAGGUGAUGCUGUCUAAAGCUCCCCUUGCCUCGCCAGCCCCCCAGCCUUCUCUCUCCUCUCCCCACAGUGUCCCAUCCAACUACUUAACCUUUCCCCUAGGUCACCAGGAGUGCUGGUGCCGAGACUCAGCCACUGAUGAACAGUUGUUCAGGUGUGAGCUGUCCGUGGAGAAGUCCACAGUGCUACAGUCCGAGCUUGAGUCCUGUAAGGAGCUGCAGGAACUGGAGCCUGAGAAUAAAUGGUGCCUGCUGACCAUCAUCCUCCUGAUGAGGGCACUGGACCCCCUCCUCUACGAGAAAGAAACACUGGAGUACUUCAGUACCCUCAAAGCUGUGGACCCGAUGAGAGCAGCCUACUUGGACGACCUGCGCAGCAAGUUCUUGGUGGAAAACAGUGUUCUCAAGAUGGAGUAUGCUGACGUGCGUGUGCUGCACCUGGCUCACAAGGAUCUCACAGUGCUCUGCCAUUUGGAACAACUGCUCUUGGUCACUCAUCUUGACCUGUCCCAUAAUCGUCUCCGAGCCUUGCCCCCAGCCCUGGCUGCUCUGCGCUGUCUCGAGGUGUUGCAGGCCAGUGAUAAUGUCCUGGAGAACUUGGACGGCGUGGCUAACCUUCCCCGGCUGCGGGAGCUGUUACUAUGUAAUAACCGCCUCCAGCAGUCUGCUGCACUUCAGACUCUUGCCUCCUGCCCCAGGCUAGUCUUCCUCAACCUGCAGGGCAACUCGCUGUGCCAAGAAGAGGGCAUCCGGGAGCGUUUGGCUGAGAUGCUACCGUCCGUCAGCAGCAUCCUCACCUAGGAGGCCCCAUCUCACCCUCACCCUUUAACUUAUUGGGACUGAAUAAAGACUGGAGAGGCCCCUCUAGGCUGCCAAGCUACCAUUACUGCUGCCCUGACAACACUUCCUCCAUUACCACCACUGUGCAUUUUGGAAAAAGGAAGGGAGGGGCUCUCUGGGGUAUGGGGCCACUGUCCUGUGAUUCUGUCUACCAAGACCCUCAGUGUUUAUGGCUGGUCAGGACCAGGGCUGGGUCUGAGUUCACCAUCAGUUUUGGGCUAUCGUGGUGCCUGAGCUUGAAGCUGGGAUAGGAAUUAGGAUCAGGUUGUGGUUUGGACUGCUCAUCAGAAGAGCUGUCUCGGGGCUGGAGAGAUGGCUCAGCGGUUAAGAGCGCUGACUGUUCUUCUGAAAGUCCUGAGUUCAAAUCCCAGCAACCACAUGGUGGCUCAUAACCAUCUGUAAUAAGAUCUGACACCCUCUUCUGGUGUCUGAAGACAGCUACAGUGUACUUACAUAUAAUAAUAAAUAAAUCUUUAAGAAAAGAAAA
Molecule: RNA transcript, 2531 nt
Organism: Mus musculus (house mouse)
Lineage: Eukaryota; Metazoa; Chordata; Mammalia; Rodentia; Muridae
Gene: Rabggta
Gene name: Rab geranylgeranyl transferase, a subunit
Exons: 16
Source: RefSeq, marked validated